Molecule: non-coding RNA, 1234 nt
Organism: Paramuricea clavata
Lineage: Eukaryota; Metazoa; Cnidaria; Anthozoa; Malacalcyonacea; Plexauridae
Source: the annotation of a GenBank genome assembly
GCAACGCUAAAAAAACAAACAACAAGUUAAAAUCUACACUAAACAAGAUAUUAAUAUACAAUGGCUAUCUGGGAUAUUUUGCAACUAUUUUCAAUUUCGAUACUUUCUGGGGUAUGGCUAACAAUAUUCUACAAGCGAGAUUUUCAACUCGAACGACAUUUGAUCUGUCGAAUACGGUACAUAAUUGCCAUAACGCUAGUCUGGGGAGCAGUGUAUUCUACAAACAUUCGGGUGUUGACGGUGCUAACCUCGUUUGGGACACUGAUUUACGUUCUCACAGAAUUACAAGCGUUAGCUAAUUUGGAAGAAAGAAUAAAGUGUUUUGCGUUGGGAUUUUCGUUGCUUUUCACACGUGUCUGGGAGGUAGAAUAUCUGGUCUGUAUUACGGUAUUCUGUGCUUUAACUCAACUCCUCCGUUGGCCAAUUAGCCUGAAAAACAAACUCCGCGAGUUGCGUAUCAUUUUUGGGCCUGUGUACACCAUUUUUGCAGUUGGAAGUUGGAUCCAAGCUGAUUUUACUUCGAGCCUAAUCCUGACUGUUGCUGCCAUCCUCGCGUUAGUGGCUUCAAUUCUACUUCGCCCGGACAAUAAUGAAGUCUUAAAAUCACUGAACUUUUUGGGAUUGCCCAUUCCAAGUCAACAAUGUCGAAAAAUGGCUCACGGACUAUCUAUGUUUGUUAGCUUCGUCUUGUGCCUGGUGUAUAUUAUAAUACUUUCUCAAGCGAGUAAAAUAGACUCUCGCAUGUUGUAUGUAAUAUGCUUAAUUGCAGUUGUAAAUAUUUCUAUGUAUAUUUGUGUGGCUGAUCUCCCUCGCAAGAUAAUACGUAAAUUAUUGACAAUGUUUCGAAAUAAUGCAGAGCAUUAGUUUAUAACUUUGAACGCAAAUUUAUAUUUCGUGAAAAGCGAAGACUGCAGAAAAUUGUAUUAAUGUAUAUAUGAUAUUUUGGCUAUAUCUAGCUACUGUAAUUAACUCUUGAAAAUUAGAUUUUAUGACAAAAUAACACGAAAAUCGUCAAGUGGGGAAUUUUGUGGGCAGACGUCACUCCUGAGCGGCAUAUGUUCAUGUCUUAACAAGUACUGAAUCUGGUAUCGUGUAUAGCUGCGGUCUAAAACUGUCCACGCCUGCAUGAACUUGACCACAAGUUUGGUCAAGCUUGGCAGACAUGUCAUAAUGAUCCAGUGUUAUUCCAGGACGAAACCUGGACGAAGUGCUGUUUAAUAAACGAGCAGGAGUG